GUUGCCGAGGUGUGCUGGAGGGCUGAUACCCCUGCGGCCCCCGCCGCCGCCGACCUCAGCGUCCAGCUUGUCGGCUCGUUUGUCCUCGUGGAUCCAAAAAAUUUUGAUAAAAGGCGUCGAUACAGUUGCAGCAAUCGUAGGAUCGCGAUCGAUUUCUAGAACGAUCUGUUCGUGCACCACUGUCCACCAGUAAGAAACACCGUGUCACCAAUUUCGACUUCUUUUAUCGAUUUACAGAAUUUCGAAACAUUCUUAUCACAAUUCACUGGCGUAUCGCGUCGUGGCCCUUCGCGCGUAGGGAGACGGGAACAAUGACAAUAUCGAACCCGCGACGUCGAUCCGUCUCGCUCUAGUUUUGUUCGUACGAUCUCCAACGCUCGAGGCAUUAGAGCAAUCACAAAUUUGUUUCUUUUCAGAAUUUGUACACUGCCUGCCUCACUUCGGUUGACCAUAAAAUUUCAAAUAAAUGGAAUGGAUCGAGACUCACGGACACCGAAUGUGUGUCGAAAUGCUGCUCGUCGCACAUUCACCGACAUCUUGCAUGGUACCAGAAAUAUACUAAAGGGUUGAAGCGGUUCGCGGGAGUCGGGUAAAGGACGCAGGGAGAAGAACAACGGUUUCAGUUUCAAAUCGCGCGUCUCGCAGUGCGGCGCGCGACGGAGCGGGCGCGAGAUUUCCGAGCGGAUCGGCUAGGAAUCGAGACCGAUCUCGACUCGAUCGAUGACAUCCGCGCGGCUACGAACCUGUUCGUCCAUUCUUCGCCCCCCCGUCGAGGAUGUUAGCGUGUGCAUUCGUCCAGCGGGAACCACGCGUUCACGGGUGUGGACAAUGACGACGACGAGUCGGCGUGCUGCGUAUCCGCUUUAAGGGCUGUCCGUCGCAGACGCAUGCUCGCGGCACGUUGCAGCCUCUCGCACUGACCGCGCGCAACACGUAAGAGAGAGCCGCCGAGUAUGUACUGUGCAAGUAGAUAUGCACUUGUCUCUCUUUCCCUCUCCCCUUUAGCCACAGCAGGCCGGCUUCGUCGUUCACGGUUCUAGACGAUUCCCGGUCGCCUCUUUCAGCCUCAGCCUCGACGAGCGGUGGCCGCGGCUUUUUCACGGUGGGAAGACCGGAAGGACAGCAAACGCAGGAGACACGGGUCUCUCGUCACUCUGAACUCUCUUUGAAUCUCUUGCGCACUAACUUCGCGGCUAUCCACUGUACUCCACGGGGAACGUUGAACGCGAGCCUGGAAUUGCCGUGGCGCCACCCCUCCUCCCCUCCUCCACCCAUCCACCUGAUCGUCUUCCUCAGCGAGUGCCACACCACAGGGCCUGUGCUGCCUCCUCCGCCUUGCACCUCCCUAUUUUUCCCUAUAAUUUACUCCGCGGCUGCCUCGUUUUUGUUUUAUUACGUUUUCGUAACACCCUUCUCACCCCUCACCGUGUCUCUCGCGCUCUCAUUCGGCCACCGUCUCGCUUUUCCUUCUCUCACCUUCUUCUCCGCGUUCUCUAAACCCUCUUUUUCCUUCUCCCUUGAUCAUCUGACUUUCCCUCUCUCGCUCGUCUCUUCUACCUCUCUAUCUUCGCAUCUGCCUCUUUCGCUUCUACCUCUACGUGCCAGCCAUGAAUCCUUACCGGGGCAACGGCGCGCCGCCCCCUUAAUGGGUCUACAGGGGCUUUUUCCAUUCACAGUGCAGCCAUCUCUUGGCUCAAGUACGAAUGUAACAACUCGUUACAGUGCCGCACAUGUUACAAUAAUUUACCUCAAAGCAAGUUUCAUCGCGCAAUCGCAUUUGUACAUAAGUCGCCGUACCGUAGACAAAGUCUGAAGACGCUCUUACAUUUCUUAGAAGAAAAAGAUACUGGUUUAUUAAAGGUAAGAAAUCAUCACAGAUUGUGAAGGGUCCACGGUUUUUGGAAGCGGAUGAACGUUAUUGUGCCCCUUGGGCGGGACUCACGAUGUAUCGUAUGACAGGAAGAUGUCAUGGUGGAACCUGAUAUACGACAAGGGGAUGAUUCGUUAUUAUGUGAACUUUUCACGGACGGACGUACCACAGAUACGCAAUGGUUUAUCGAAGCGAAUUACGAAGAUCAUUCCUCAAGUCAAACACUGUGUUUAUAUACAUA
Molecule: long non-coding RNA, 2111 nt
Organism: Ceratina calcarata
Lineage: Eukaryota; Metazoa; Arthropoda; Insecta; Hymenoptera; Apidae
Exons: 3
Source: RefSeq, a predicted model, not a curated record